Molecule: long non-coding RNA, 553 nt
Filed under: Homo sapiens (human)
Lineage: Eukaryota; Metazoa; Chordata; Mammalia; Primates; Hominidae
Description: non-protein coding TPT1-AS1:70
Source: RNAcentral
CACCCCGCCACUCCUGAGCACCGCACACCGGCUUCCUCCCAGUCCCUCAUCUGAGAACUCAUGAAGCCACUUGGAAUCCCUCUCUGCUUUGCCUGGCUCAUUCCAUGUCAAUUUCAGAUCUUCACUUCAGGUCAGCUCCAAGGAGGCUAUCCUUGCCCAUCUUCCUAAAAUAGAGCUCUCAAAACCUGGCUGUUUUCCUUCAGAGCACUGGCCUCCAAUUAUAAGAGCUUUGAGGAAGCCAGAAUGCAGGAAUGUGAUAGAAAGUGGCUGGCAAGAGGGAGCUGAGGCUGGUGGGUCCAAGAAGUCCUCUCCAGGGAGAUGACAUUUGAGCAGUGAUCUGGACAAUGAAAAAGCGCUGACUGCACCUCCAGGUGAGAAGAACUUACUGGGCUGAGGAGAAAGCAAGCCAUCAAAAACCCCAAGGAGGGAGUUUGGUGUGUUCAGAGAACUGGAAGGAGGGAACGCCAUGAAAGAGAGGCCAGUAGCAUGUGCGGGGCAGAGAGGGAGCCGGCUUCUUAGCCCGUGGAGAGAGAAAGCAGGAACUAAAGCCAGC